RNAcentral lists this ribosomal RNA (112 nucleotides) under Clostridia bacterium. The record is from RNAcentral. Lineage: Bacteria; Bacillati; Bacillota; Clostridia.
UCUGGCGGUAAUAGCGGAGGGGGCCCACCCGUUCCCAUCCCGAACACGGAAGUUAAGCCCUCCAGCGCCGAUGGUACUAAGCUUUGCUUGGGAGAGUAGGUCACCGCCAGAA